Molecule: ribosomal RNA, 208 nt
Filed under: Guibemantis liber
Lineage: Eukaryota; Metazoa; Chordata; Amphibia; Anura; Mantellidae
Description: partial 16S ribosomal RNA
Source: RNAcentral
UCUAUAAGACGAGAAGACCCCAUGGAGCUUUAAACCCAACUACACUCCUUUUUGACUUUACUUUUUAACUCCUAGGAUUUUGUAUGUUCUGGUUUUAGGUUGGGGUGACCGCGGAGCAUAAAUUAGCCUCCACAAUGAAUAGACCUUCUCUUUAUCCAAGACUUACACCUCUAAGAAUUAGUAUUCUAACAUAAAAUGAUCCGAUAUU